This 57-nucleotide non-coding RNA is filed under the name unclassified sequences. Its description in RNAcentral is "S15-Flavobacteria ribosomal protein leader". It matches the Rfam family "S15-Flavobacteria ribosomal protein leader". The record is from RNAcentral.
UAUAUUUGCGCCGCUGAUAUAAGCAUACAUAAUAAUCAUUUAAAUAAUAUUGGAAUG